UUGAUACUGUUGUCCUAGAGUGUAGUUGAGGUAGGCGGAAUAUGUCAUGUAGCGGUGAAAUGCUUAGAUAUGACAUAGAACACCGAUCGCGAAGGCAGCUUACCAAGCUAUUACUGACGCUCAGGGACGAAAGCGUGGGGAUCAAACAGGAUUAGAUACCCUGGUAGUCCACGCUGUAAACGAUGGUCACUCGAUGUUGGCGAUACACAGUCAGCGUCUGAGCGAAAGCAUUAAGUGACCCACCUGGGGAGUACGACCGCAAGGUUGAAACUCAAAGGAAUUGACGGGGGCCCGCACAAGCGGAGGAGCAUGUGGUUUAAUUCGAUGAUACGCGAGGAACCUUACCUGGGCUCGAACGUAAGACGACGCUUCGUGAAAGCGGAAUUCCCUUCGGGGCGGCUUACGAGGUGCUGCAUGGUUGUCGUCAGCUCGUGCCGUGAGGUGUCGGGUUAAGUCCCAUAGCGAGCGCAA
Molecule: ribosomal RNA, 471 nt
Filed under: uncultured bacterium
Lineage: Bacteria
Description: bacterial SSU rRNA
Rfam family: Bacterial small subunit ribosomal RNA
Source: RNAcentral